UGGCGCUUUCCAGCUUUUUGGCUGACGGAUCCUUCCCUUUUUUCCCCCCCAGGAUUCGGGAAUUCCUUCAACAUCGACACCAAGAGGCCGCAGAUCAUCGCGGGAUCCCGGGAAUCUUUUUUUGGAUACACGGUGCAGCAGCACGACAUCGGCGGCAAGAAAUGGCUGGUGGUGGGAGCUCCGUACGAAUCCAACGGGCAGCAGAAGACCGGAGACGUCUACAAGUGUCCAGUGCUGAGUGACAGCCACGGAAACUGCACCAAGCUCAACCUGGGGCGGGUGACGCUGUCCAACGUGUCGGAGCGCAAGGACAAC
Non-coding RNA from Lonchura striata (white-rumped munia), 315 nucleotides. Lineage: Eukaryota; Metazoa; Chordata; Aves; Passeriformes; Estrildidae. The record is from RefSeq and is a predicted model, not a curated record.